GGCCUCGGGCCGGCACCGCCCGGAGCGGAGCGGGCAGUGCUGCCCGCGCCUAUCGCGGGGCCCGGGCGUCAUCCAGGGAUGCCCUUUCAAAAGUUUUGAAGAUGCUGAAUUAAAGAAUUUAACGAAGUGAUUUGCUGAGAGGGACAAGCUUCCAUUCCCGAUGCCUGCUGAAUCAAGACUAUCUGGUUUUGUUCUGGCUGAAAAAUCAGGAGAGAGGAAAUGUAUCUAUGACUUAAUCUACC
Long non-coding RNA from Pipra filicauda (Wire-tailed manakin), 242 nucleotides. RefSeq lists it as uncharacterized. The record is from RefSeq and is a predicted model, not a curated record. The transcript has 3 exons. Lineage: Eukaryota; Metazoa; Chordata; Aves; Passeriformes; Pipridae.